GGACCAUCAUGUCGGUCAUGCCUUGGUAUGUACUGGUUUUAUUGGUUCUCCCUUCUGACGAACCAUGAUGUCAUUUAUUUGGUGUUGUGGGGAAUCAGGACUGUUACUUUGAAAAAAUUAGAGUGUUUAAAGCAGGCUCACGCUUGAAUACAUUAGCAUGGAAUAAUGAAAUAGGACGUUUGAUUCUAUUUUGUUGGUUUCUAGGAUCGAUGUA
This 214-nucleotide ribosomal RNA is filed under the name Campeiostachys nutans. RNAcentral's name for it is "Elymus nutans partial small subunit ribosomal RNA". The stretch from base 46 to 214 matches the Rfam family "Eukaryotic small subunit ribosomal RNA", at positions 694 to 864 of the family's 1831-position model. The record is from RNAcentral. Lineage: Eukaryota; Viridiplantae; Streptophyta; Magnoliopsida; Poales; Poaceae.